GACGAACGCUGGCGGCAUGCCUAAUACAUGCAAGUCGAGCGAACAGAUGAAGUGCUUGCACUUCUGACGUUAGCGGCGAACGGGUGAGUAACACGUAAGGAAUCUACCUAUAAGCGGGGGAUAACAUUCGGAAACGGGUGCUAAUACCGCAUAAUAUCUUCUUCCGCAUGGAAGAAGAUUGAAAGACGGCUCUGCUGUCACUUAUAGAUGACCUUGCGGUGCAUUAGUUAGUAGGUGGGGUAAUGGCCUACCAAGACGAUGAUGCAUAGCCGACCUGAGAGGGUGGUCGGCCACAUUGGGACUGAGACACGGCCCAAACUCCUACGGGAGGCAGCAGUAGGGAAUCUUCCGCAAUGGGCGAAAGCCUGACGGAGCAAUGCCGCGUGAGUGAAGAAGGCCUUCGGGUCGUAAAACUCUGUUAUAAGAGAAGAACAAAUUGUAGAGUAACUGCUACAGUCUUGACGGUAUCUUAUCAGAAAGCCACGGCUAACUACGUGCCAGCCGCCGCAGUAA
RNAcentral lists this ribosomal RNA (513 nucleotides) under uncultured bacterium. Its description in RNAcentral is "partial 16S ribosomal RNA". It matches the Rfam family "Bacterial small subunit ribosomal RNA", at positions 28 to 523 of the family's 1533-position model. The record is from RNAcentral.